GGGCACUCGUGCGGCUCUCAGCGCCCUCGGUUUGCAAGACGAGGGACGCGGCGCGCUCGGAGCUUGCGUGGCUUGACGCAGCCACAGCUGUGAGGAAAUGAAGUCGCCGCGAGGCAGCCAGUUCAAGCCCCGGUCUCCAGACGUUGCCCCGUAGCUGCCGAGAUGGUCUCGAACACCUUGGCUCAAGCAACCCUCCCGCCUCAGCCUCCCAAAACGCCGGGAAUAGGUAUGAAUCACCACACCCGACGAAUUUUUCUUACUAAGUAAAUGUUUUAGUGUCCUGAAA
This is a long non-coding RNA of Carlito syrichta (Philippine tarsier), 286 nucleotides long. RefSeq lists it as uncharacterized. Lineage: Eukaryota; Metazoa; Chordata; Mammalia; Primates; Tarsiidae. The transcript has 2 exons. The record is from RefSeq and is a predicted model, not a curated record.